GAUGAACGCUAGCGGCAGGCCUAACACAUGCAAGUCGAGGGGCAGCACGAGUAAUAGCAAUAUUACUUGGUGGCGACCGGCGCACGGUGCGUAACACGUAUGUAAUCUGCCUUAAACUGGGGUAUAACUCCGAGAAAUCGGUGCUAAUCCCCCAUAACACUGCGAAGUGGCAUCACUUUGCAGUUAAAGCUCCGGCGGUUUAAGAUGAACAUGCGUCCAAUUAGCUAGUUGGUGAGGUAAUGGCUCACCAAGGCUCCGAUUGGUAGGGGUUCUGAGAGGAUGAUCCCCCACACUGGUACUGAGACACGGACCAGACUCCUACGGGAGGCAGCAGUGAGGAAUAUUGCGCAAUGGAGGCAACUCUGACGCAGCCAUGCCGCGUGAAGGAUUGAAGGUCCUAUGGAUUGUAAACUUCUUUUGUAUGGGAAUAAACGCUACUACGUGUAGUAGCNUGAAGUACAAUAAGGUAAGCACCGGCU
This 479-nucleotide ribosomal RNA is filed under the name uncultured bacterium. RNAcentral's name for it is "bacterial SSU rRNA". It matches the Rfam family "Bacterial small subunit ribosomal RNA", at positions 28 to 498 of the family's 1533-position model. The record is from RNAcentral.